UGGCUUCCAAGAAAUGUUUUAUCUCCAGGGAUGUUAUAUUCCAUGAAACAUGUUUUUCUUUUAAGAAUAAACCUUCUUCUGCUUAUUCUUCUCCUUCAUCCUUUCCUUUUAUUCCUCCUGCUGAGCAUUCCACUGACACUACCUUUCCUAUACAUGCUUCCUCUCUUCCCCUACAUCUAUUCGAGCCCCCUAAUUCUACUGUUCCUAAUUUUACUGAUACUGAUCCAGCUCCCCUUCCUUCUUUCAAUCCUGAUAUCUCUCCUCCUGUUUUACCUUCUUCCCAACCUCUUCCUGUUCCUAGAAAAUCCACUAGACAGCAUAAUCCUCCAUCCUAUCUUAAAAAUUAUGUCUGUCAACUCCCUGUCUUUUCUUGAUCCUCUUCUUCUACUUUGGAAUCUGAACCUUUAUAUUACUUCCCAACCUCUUCCUGCUCCUAGAAAAUCCUCUAGACAGCAUAAUCCUCCAUCCUAUCUUAAGGAUUAUGUUUGUCAACUCCCUGCCUUUUUUGGAUCCUCUUCUUCUACUUUGGAAUCUGAACCUUUAUAUUACUCUCAAGCUGCAUCUGUUCCAGCAUGGCAGGAUGCCAUGAGACAGGAGUUUGAUGCUUUGGAAGCAAACCAUACCUGGGAUGUUAUUCCCCUUCCUCCUGGUA
RNAcentral lists this long non-coding RNA (652 nucleotides) under Nicotiana benthamiana. RNAcentral describes it as "long non-coding RNA (NBEN_LNC003211)". Lineage: Eukaryota; Viridiplantae; Streptophyta; Magnoliopsida; Solanales; Solanaceae. The record is from RNAcentral.